This 301-nucleotide ribosomal RNA is filed under the name uncultured bacterium. Its description in RNAcentral is "partial 16S ribosomal RNA". It matches the Rfam family "Bacterial small subunit ribosomal RNA", at positions 509 to 808 of the family's 1533-position model. The record is from RNAcentral.
CAGCAGCCGCGGUAAAACGUAGGGUGCGAGCGUUAAUCGGAAUUACUGGGCGUAAAGCGUGCGCAGGCGGUUCGUUAAGACAGAUGUGAAAUCCCCGGGCUUAACCUGGGAACUGCAUUUGUGACUGGCGAGCUAGAGUAUGGCAGAGGGGGGUAGAAUUCCACGUGUAGCAGUGAAAUGCGUAGAGAUGUGGAGGAAUACCGAUGGCGAAGGCAGCCCCCUGGGCCAAUACUGACGCUCAUGCACGAAAGCGUGGGGAGCAAACAGGAUUAGAUCCCCUGUAGUCCCUGUCUCUUAUACC